Drosophila biarmipes is the source of this 493-nucleotide long non-coding RNA. RefSeq lists it as uncharacterized. NCBI's taxonomy places the organism in Eukaryota, Metazoa, Arthropoda, Insecta, Diptera, Drosophilidae. The transcript has 2 exons. The record is from RefSeq and is a predicted model, not a curated record.
CAUCAUUUUAUUUCACCAAAUUUCCCCUAUCCAAGUGUCAAGGGUUUUUUGUAUUAUCAACUUACCAAUAUUAUUCGGAUAUAUAACUGGCAGGGUGCCAUCCUUUUGAUAUCUGGGCGGCGGCAUAUCCGAGCCCUCGACGAGAUACGUGGACGCCGCCUUUUUGCGCGCCUCGUCCUGCGGAUAAGGAGGGAUAGGAGCUGAGUUAAGAGCGGCAGAUGCGACAUGGCGGGCGUUGAAAGUCGUUGGCGCGUAAUUGACAGCCACAAUGACAGCGGCGACACACGGACGCGAGGACAACCAGGACAGACGGGACGACAAGGACGAGGCCCAAGGACACCCGGGAUCGGAUCGGGGCUGAUUUAUAACACGCGCGGUCGCAGUUUACGCACUUUACAUACUUUUACUCCGGCUUCUGCGGGUUAGGCAGUUGCUGCGGUUUUCCUGCCGCUGCAAGAUUACGCCGAUAAUAAAUGAUUUUAAUAAUUUGAAA